GACGAACGCUGGCGGCGUGCCUAAUACAUGCAAGUCGAACGCUUCUUUCCUCCCGAGUGCUUGCACUCCAUUGGAAAGAGGAGUGGCGGACGGGUGGGUAACACGUGGGUAACCUACCCAUCAGAGGGGGAUGACACUUGGAAACAGGUGCUAAUACCGCAUAACAGUUUAUGCCGCAUGGCAUAAGAGUGAAAGGCGCUUCCGGGUGUCGCUGAUGGAUGGACCCGCGGUGCAUUAGCUAGUUGGUGAGGUAACGGCUCACCAAGGCCACGAUGCAUAGCCGACCUGAGAGGGUGAUCGGCCACACUGGGACUGAGACACGGCCCAGACUCCUACGGGAGGCAGCAGUAGGGAAUCUUCGGCAAUGGACGAAAGUCUGACCGAGCAACGCCGCGUGAGUGAAGAAGGUGUUCGGAUCGUAAAACUCUGUUGUUAGAGAAGAACAAGGACGUUAGUAACUGAACGUCCCCUGACGGUAUCUAACCAGAAAGCCACGGCUAACUACGUG
Molecule: ribosomal RNA, 508 nt
Filed under: uncultured bacterium
Lineage: Bacteria
Description: partial 16S ribosomal RNA
Rfam family: Bacterial small subunit ribosomal RNA
Source: RNAcentral